UAGUAGAUUCGGUGGAUUUAGUAGA
Molecule: non-coding RNA, 25 nt
Filed under: Bombyx mori (domestic silkworm)
Lineage: Eukaryota; Metazoa; Arthropoda; Insecta; Lepidoptera; Bombycidae
Source: RNAcentral